AUUGAACGCUGGCGGCAUGCCUUACACAUGCAAGUCGAACGGCAGCACGGGGCAACCUGGUGGCGAGUGGCGAACGGGUGAGUAAUGCAUCGGAACGUACCUCUCAGUGGGGGAUAACGUAGCGAAAGUUACGCUAAUACCGCAUAUUCUGUGAGCAGGAAAGCAGGGGAUCGCAAGACCUUGCGCUGAUUGAGCGGCCGAUGUCAGAUUAGCUAGUUGGUGAGGUAAAGGCUCACCAAGGCGACGAUCUGUAGCGGGUCUGAGAGGAUGUUCCGCCACACUGGAACUGAGACACGGUCCAGACUCCUACGGGAGGCAGCAGUGGGGAAUUUUGGACAAUGGGGGCAACCCUGAUCCAGCCAUGCCGCGUGAGUGAAGAAGGCCUUCGGGUUGUAAAGCUCUUUCGGCCGGGAAGAAAUCGCACGGGCUAAUACCCUGUGUGGAUGACGGUACCGGAAUAAGAAGCACCGGCUAACUACGUGCCAGCAGCCGCCGUAA
This 498-nucleotide ribosomal RNA is filed under the name uncultured bacterium. RNAcentral describes it as "partial 16S ribosomal RNA". It matches the Rfam family "Bacterial small subunit ribosomal RNA", at positions 30 to 523 of the family's 1533-position model. The record is from RNAcentral.